UGGUGGGAUAACAGCGCACCAAGGCAUCGAUGGGUAGCCGAGCUGAGAGGUUGAUCGGCCACACUGGGACUGAGACACGGCCCAGACACCUACGGGUGGCAGCAGUAGGGAAUCUUGGACAAUGGGCGAAAGCCUGAUCCAGCCAUGCCGCGUGAGUGAUGAAGGCCUUCGGGUUGUAAAGCUCUUUUCUGAGGGAGGAAAUGCAGAGUGAGGAAAUGCGCUUUGUUUGACGGUACCUCAGGAAUAAGGAACGGCUAACUCCGUGCCAGCAGCCGCGGUAAUACGGAGGUUCCAAGCGUUGUUCGGAAUUACUGGGCGUAAAGGGGGCGCAGGCGGACAGGUCAGUGGAAAGUGGAAGCCCGGGGCUCAACCUCGGAAGGCCUUUCCAUACUGCCUGUCUUGAGUUCGUGAGAGGAGAGUGGAAUUCAGGGUGUAGCGGUGAAAUGCUUAGAUAUCCUGAGGAACACCAGUGGCGAAAGCGACUCUCAGGCACGAAACUGACGCUGAGGCCCGAAAGCGUGGGUAGCGAACGGGAUUAGAU
This 541-nucleotide ribosomal RNA is filed under the name uncultured microorganism. Its description in RNAcentral is "bacterial SSU rRNA". It matches the Rfam family "Bacterial small subunit ribosomal RNA", at positions 250 to 783 of the family's 1533-position model. The record is from RNAcentral.